AGAGUUUGAUCCUGGCUCAGGAUGAACGCUAGCGGCAGGCCUAAUACAUGCAAGUCGAACGGUGAUAGCAAUAUCAUAGUGGCGCACGGGUGCGUAACACGUAUGCAACCUACCUUAUACUGAGGGAUAGCCUUUCGAAAGGGAGAUUAAUACCUCAUAACACAUUGAACUGGCAUCAGUUUAUUGUUAAAGAUUUAUUGGUAUAAGAUGGGCAUGCGUCCAAUUAGUUAGUUGGCGAGGUAACGGCUCACCAAGACGAUGAUUGGUAGGGGAACUGAGAGGUUAAUCCCCCACACUGGCACUGAGAUACGGGCCAGACUCCUACGGGAGGCAGCAGUAGGGAAUAUUGGGCAAUGGAGGCAACUCUGACCCAGCCAUGCCGCGUGCGGGAAGAAGGCGUUAUGCGUUGUAAACUGCCUUUAUAUAGGAAGAAAUAGACCUUGCGAGGUAAGUUGACGGUACUAUAUGAAUAAGCACCGGCUAACUCCGUGCCAGCAGCCGCGGUAAUACGGAGGGUGCAAGCGUUGUCCGGAUUUAUUGGGUUUAAAGGGUGCGUAGGCGGUUUAUUAAGUCAGUGGUGAAAGA
This 585-nucleotide ribosomal RNA is filed under the name uncultured bacterium. RNAcentral describes it as "bacterial SSU rRNA". It matches the Rfam family "Bacterial small subunit ribosomal RNA", at positions 8 to 601 of the family's 1533-position model. The record is from RNAcentral.